GACGAACCGUGCAAACGUUGUUCGGAAUCACUGGGCUUAAAGGGCGCGUAGGCGGCUUAUCAAGUCGGGGGUGAAAUACUUCAGCUUAACUGGAGAAGUGCCUUCGAUACUGGUGGGCUUGAGGGAGGUAGGGGUCUGUGGAACUUCUGGUGGAGCGGUGAAAUGCGCAGAUAUCAGGAGGAACACCGGUGGCGAAGGCGGAUCUCUGGGCCUUACCUGACGCUGAGGAGCGAAAGCAUGGGGAGCAAACAGG
RNAcentral lists this ribosomal RNA (253 nucleotides) under uncultured bacterium. Its description in RNAcentral is "partial 16S ribosomal RNA". It matches the Rfam family "Bacterial small subunit ribosomal RNA", at positions 524 to 776 of the family's 1533-position model. The record is from RNAcentral.